AUUCCGGUUGAUCCUGCCGGAGGCCAUUGCUAUCGGAGUCCGGUUUAGCCAUGCUAGUCGUGCGAGUUCAGACUCGCGGCACCGAGCUCAGUAACACGUGGCCAAACUACCCUACAGAGACGGAUACCCUCGGGAAACUGAGGUUAACCCGUCAUACCGAUCUCAGGCUUGAAUCGCAGAGAUCACAAAACGCCCCGGCGCUGUAGGAUGUGGCUGCGGUUGAUUAGGUAGACGGUGGGGUAACGGCCCACCGUGCCCAUAAUCAGUACAGGUUGUGAGAGCAAGAACCUGGAGACGGAAUCUGAGACAAGAUUCCGGGCCCUACGGGGCGCAGCAGGCGCGAAACCUUUACACUGCACGCACGUGCGAUAAGGGGACUCCGAGUGCGAGGGCAUAUCGUCCUCGCUUUCGUGUACCGUAGGGUGGUACACCAACAAGGGCUGGGCAAGACCGGUGCCAGCCGCCGCGGUAAUACCGGCAGCCCGAGUGAUGGCCGAUCUUAUUGGGCCUAAAGCGUCCGUAACUGGCCGCGC
This 533-nucleotide ribosomal RNA is filed under the name uncultured Halomicrobium sp. Its description in RNAcentral is "bacterial SSU rRNA". It matches the Rfam family "Archaeal small subunit ribosomal RNA", at positions 1 to 534 of the family's 1478-position model. The record is from RNAcentral. Lineage: Archaea; Methanobacteriati; Methanobacteriota; Halobacteria; Halobacteriales; Haloarculaceae.